RNAcentral lists this ribosomal RNA (129 nucleotides) under Myotis davidii. Lineage: Eukaryota; Metazoa; Chordata; Mammalia; Chiroptera; Vespertilionidae. The record is from RNAcentral.
GUCUACGGCCAUACCACCCUGAACGCGCCCGAUCUCGUCUGAUCUCGGAAGCUAAGCAGGGUCGGGCCUGGUUAGUACUUGGAUGGGAGAAACUAAUUUUCCCACUGGGCAGCUAAGGAAGCUGACACU